UACGUAGGGGCCUAGCGUUGUCCGGAUUUAUUGGGCGUAAAGAGCUCGUAGGCGGUUCGGCAAGUCGGAUGUGAAAUCUCCACGCUUAACGUGGAGGGGCCAUUCGAAACUGCCGUGACUCGAGUCCGGUAGGGGAGUGUGGAAUUCCCGGUGUAGCGGUGAAAUGCGCAGAUAUCGGGAGGAACACCUGUGGCGAAAGCGGCUCACUGGACCAUUACUGACGCUGAUGCUCGAAAGCUAGGGGAGCAAACAGG
Molecule: ribosomal RNA, 254 nt
Filed under: uncultured bacterium
Lineage: Bacteria
Description: partial 16S ribosomal RNA
Rfam family: Bacterial small subunit ribosomal RNA
Source: RNAcentral